AACGAACGCUGGCGGCAGGCUUAACACGUGCAAGUCGAGCGAGACCUUCGGGUCUAGCGGCGGACGGGUGAGUAACGCGUGGGAACGUGCCCUUCUCUACGGAAUAGCCCCGGGAAACUGGGAGUAAUACCGUAUACGCCCUUUGGGGGAAAGAUUUAUCGGAGAAGGAUCGGCCCGCGUUGGAUUAGGUAGUUGGUGGGGUAAUGGCCCACCAAGCCGACGAUCCAUAGCUGGUUUGAGAGGAUGAUCAGCCACACUGGGACUGAGACACGGCCCAGACUCCUACGGGAGGCAGCAGUGGGGAAUCUUAGACAAUGGGGGCAACCCUGAUCUAGCCAUGCCGCGUGAGUGAUGAAGGCCUUAGGGUUGUAAAGCUCUUUCAGCUGGGAAGAUAAUGACGGUACCAGCAGAAGAAGCCCCGGCUAACUCCGUG
RNAcentral lists this ribosomal RNA (433 nucleotides) under uncultured bacterium. Its description in RNAcentral is "partial 16S ribosomal RNA". It matches the Rfam family "Bacterial small subunit ribosomal RNA", at positions 29 to 507 of the family's 1533-position model. The record is from RNAcentral.